Long non-coding RNA from Pipra filicauda (Wire-tailed manakin), 418 nucleotides. RefSeq lists it as uncharacterized. The transcript has 2 exons. The record is from RefSeq and is a predicted model, not a curated record. Lineage: Eukaryota; Metazoa; Chordata; Aves; Passeriformes; Pipridae.
CUACGAAUCCAUCAUUGAGAAUGGCAACCAGGGAAAGCAGCCAUUUCCUCCAGAAGAAAACUGUUCUGCCACAUUCUCUUAAAGUAUAUUCUCCUCCCAGGGCAAGCACAGAGCUCCCAUCAACACUAAUGCACACACAGAGAGGGAGAAGUAAAAGGAAAAAAUCUGAAUUUCAAAAAAAAUAUUACACAAUCCUGCUUAUGCAGGUGAACAUUACCGAUCAUUUUGGUCUUCGAUAUCACAAACCGUUAUGGUGAUUUCUCUCACAUCAUGCAAAUGGCUGCAUAAUGUCUACUCCUCUUGGAAUGUAAAAUCAAAUCAGCAUUCUAAUGAUACAAGCCCGUGAUGAGCUUGGAAAUAAAUAUGCAGAAGCGCAUAAAAAAAAAAAUCAAGGCAAUCAAGGAGAGCCAGCGUCCUA